CGGGAUCCAGCCGGAUCGGUGCGGCGAGGCCGCUGCCGUCGGUCGACAGCCGGUACGGUCCUGGCGGUUCCGAC
Molecule: transfer RNA, 74 nt
Filed under: Actinoplanes utahensis
Lineage: Bacteria; Bacillati; Actinomycetota; Actinomycetes; Micromonosporales; Micromonosporaceae
Description: tRNA-Gly
Source: RNAcentral